Non-coding RNA from Triticum aestivum (bread wheat), 125 nucleotides. NCBI's taxonomy places the organism in Eukaryota, Viridiplantae, Streptophyta, Magnoliopsida, Poales, Poaceae. The record is from Rfam.
AUAAUACUCCCUCCGUCCGGAAAUACUUGUCAGAUUAAUGGAUGUAUCUAGACAUACUUUAGUUCUAGAUACAUCCAUUUUUAUCCAUUUCUACGACAAGUAAUUCUGGACGCAGGGAGUAUGAU